GCUGAGUUACCAGCACGUAAAGGUAGGGGACUCUCAGUGGACUGCCGGCGACAAGCCGGAGGAGGGUGGGGACGGACGUCAAGUCAUCAUGGCCCUCCAUGUCCACGGGCGACACACGUGCUACAAUGGCCGGCACAACGGAAGCGACGGCGCGAGUCGUAGCGGAUCCCCUCAAAGCCGGUCCCAGUUCGGAUUGCAGUCUGCAACUCGACUGCAUGAAGCCGGAAUCGCUAGUAAUCGUGGAUCAGCCAAGCCGCGGUGAAUACGUUCCCGGGCCUU
Molecule: ribosomal RNA, 279 nt
Filed under: uncultured Thermanaerovibrio sp.
Lineage: Bacteria; Thermotogati; Synergistota; Synergistia; Synergistales; Synergistaceae
Description: partial 16S ribosomal RNA
Rfam family: Bacterial small subunit ribosomal RNA
Source: RNAcentral